RNAcentral lists this ribosomal RNA (467 nucleotides) under uncultured bacterium. RNAcentral describes it as "partial 16S ribosomal RNA". It matches the Rfam family "Bacterial small subunit ribosomal RNA", at positions 28 to 506 of the family's 1533-position model. The record is from RNAcentral.
GACGAACGCUGGCGGCGUGCUUAACACAUGCAAGUCGAACGGAAAGGCCCUGCAUUUGUGGGGUGCUCGAGUGGCGAACGGGUGAGUAACACGUGAGUAACCUGCCCUUGACUUUGGUAUAACUUCAGGAAACUUGGGCUAAUACCUGAUAGGAGCUCCUGCUGCAUGGUGGUGGUCGGAAAGUUUCGGCGGUUGGGGUUGGACUCGCGGCUUAUCAGCUUGUUGGUGGGGUAGUGGCUUACCAAGGCUGUGACGGGUAGCCGGCCUGAGAGGGAGACCGACCACAUUGGGAGUGAGAGACGGACCAGACACAUACGGGAGGGAGGAGUGAGGAAUAUUGAACAAUGGGCGGGAGCAAGAUGGAGCAACGCAGCGUGCGGGAUGACGGCAUGCGGGUGGGAAACCGCUUUCGCCUGUAACGAAGGGUGAGUGACGGAAAUGGGGAAAGAAGCACCGGCUAACUACGU